RNAcentral lists this ribosomal RNA (371 nucleotides) under uncultured bacterium. Its description in RNAcentral is "bacterial SSU rRNA". It matches the Rfam family "Bacterial small subunit ribosomal RNA", at positions 525 to 896 of the family's 1533-position model. The record is from RNAcentral.
ACGUAGGGUGCGAGCGUUAAUCGGAAUUACUGGGCGUAAAGCGUGCGCAGGCGGUUCGUUAAGUCUGAUGUGAAAGCCCCGGGCUCAACCUGGGAAUGGCAUUGGAAACUGGCGGGCUGGAGUAUGGCAGAGGGGGGUGGAAUUCCACGUGUAGCAGUGAAAUGCGUAGAGAUGUGGAGGAACACCGAUGGCGAAGGCAGCCCCCUGGGCCAAUACUGACGCUCAGGCACGAAAGCGUGGGGAGCAAACAGGAUUAGAUACCCUGGUAGUCCACGCCCUAAACGAUGAUCACUGGGUGUUGGGGAAGCGAUUCCUUGGUACCGUAGCUAACGCGUGAAGUGAUCCGCCUGGGGAGUACGGUCGCAAGAUUA